Long non-coding RNA from Phyllostomus discolor (pale spear-nosed bat), 568 nucleotides. RefSeq lists it as uncharacterized. Lineage: Eukaryota; Metazoa; Chordata; Mammalia; Chiroptera; Phyllostomidae. The record is from RefSeq and is a predicted model, not a curated record. The transcript is spliced from 3 exons.
AUAAACAAUAUUCUUUCACCAAUAUGUCAAGGUUUGAGAAGACUCAGGAAUUGUUCAAACAUCUUUUUCUUACAGAGAGACUGUCUCUUACUAAUGAAUCAAGCAGGAGAACUAUACCUGAUUCAAUUCAUUGAAAUGGGAUCAUUGGUUAGGAUGGUCACAUUUGAUAGUUUGGCUACAAUCCAAAAUAAUCUUAUAAAAAUAGCUGAUAAGAAUGCUUACCAAAAUAUCACUGCAAAUUUGCCUCAAGCAGCUGAUGGUGGAACUUCAGUUUGCAAAGGACUCAACCAGGCAAUUAUCCAAAGUAACCAGAGCACUUCUGGUUCUGAAAAUCAUAUUACUAACAGAUGGGGAAGAUAAUGAAAUAAGCUCAUGCUUUGAAGAGGUGAAGUAAAGUGGGACGAUCAUCCACACCAUUGCUCUGGUACCUUCUGCUGCCAAAGAACUGGAGACCCUGUCAAGAAUGACAGGAGGACUUCAGUUGCUUGCCCAUGAAAAAGACAUAAAUGGCCUUAUUGAUGUUUUUAGUAGAAUUUCAUCAAGAACUGGCAACAUCACUCAUCAGGCU